AAUCAACGCUGGCGGCGUGCCUCAGACAUGCAAGUCGAACGAUUAAACUUUCCUUCGGGAAAGAUAUAAAGUGGCGCACGGGUGAGUAACACGUAGGUAAUGUACCUUUGGGUGGGGAAUAACUUAGGGAAACUUAAGCUAAUACCGCAUAAUGCAGCGGCUCCUUCGGGAGACAGUUGUUAAAGAUUUAUCGCCUAAAGAGCAGCCUGCGGCAGAUUAGCUAGUUGGUAAGGUAACGGCUUACCAAGGCGACGAUCUGUAUCCGACCUGAGAGGGUGGUCGGACGACACUGACACUGAAUAACGGGUCAGACUCCUACGGGAGGCAGCAGUCGGGAAUUUUGGGUCGAAUAGGGCGGAAAGACCUGACCCACGCAACGCCGCGUGAAGGAUGAAGUCUUUC
RNAcentral lists this ribosomal RNA (402 nucleotides) under uncultured bacterium. RNAcentral describes it as "bacterial SSU rRNA". It matches the Rfam family "Bacterial small subunit ribosomal RNA", at positions 32 to 419 of the family's 1533-position model. The record is from RNAcentral.